This 69-nucleotide small nuclear RNA is filed under the name Tupaia belangeri chinensis (Chinese tree shrew). Its description in RNAcentral is "Tupaia chinensis (Chinese tree shrew) U4 spliceosomal RNA". It matches the Rfam family "U4 spliceosomal RNA", at positions 1 to 69 of the family's 138-position model. From Rfam's summary of the family: U4 small nuclear RNA (U4 snRNA) is a component of the major U2-dependent spliceosome. The structure of U4 snRNA from yeast and human has been reported. U4 snRNA presents a k-turn RNA motif in the 5p-SL related to recognition of Snu13 protein. The record is from Rfam by way of RNAcentral. Lineage: Eukaryota; Metazoa; Chordata; Mammalia; Scandentia; Tupaiidae.
AGCUUUGCGCAGUGGCAGUAUCAUAGCCAAUGAGGUUUAUCCGAGGCAUGAUUUUUGCUAAUUGAAACA